Molecule: long non-coding RNA, 179 nt
Organism: Sander lucioperca (pikeperch)
Lineage: Eukaryota; Metazoa; Chordata; Actinopteri; Perciformes; Percidae
Exons: 3
Source: RefSeq, a predicted model, not a curated record
CAGCUUUGAAGGCACUGGCGCUAAACCCACCAGACUCCAUUUAAUAAAGCAAUACUUUCAGCGUCUAUAGAGCCAACGUAUUUUCACAUGUAAAUCGGUAAACUAUGUGUUUAUUUCAACCAAAACUAGAGUUGUGAUGGUUGGAAAAGUGAAAAGACGACCCAAAACAGCUUUUCAUA